AUUGAACGCUGGCGGCAUGCCUAACACAUGCAAGUCGAACGGCAGCACGGCAGUAGCAAUACUGUGGGUGGCGAGUGGCGGACGGGUGAGGAAUACGUCGGAAUCUGCCCAGUCGUGGGGGAUAACUAGCCGAAAGGUUAGCUAAUACCGCAUACGACCGAGAGGUGAAAGCGGGGGACCGCAAGGCCUCGCGCGAUUGGAUGAGCCGACGUCGGAUUAGCUAGUUGGUGGGGUAAAGGCCCACCAAGGCGACGAUCCGUAGCUGGUCUGAGAGGAUGAUCAGCCACACUGGAACUGAGACACGGUCCAGACUCCUACGGGAGGCAGCAGUGGGGAAUAUUGGACAAUGGGCGCAAGCCUGAUCCAGCAAUGCCGCGUGUGUGAAGAAGGCCUUCGGGUUGUAAAGCACUUUUAUCAGGAACGAAAAGCGUUGGAUUAAUACUCUGACGUGCUGACGGUACCUGAGGAAUAAGCACCGGCUAACUUCGUGCCAGCAGCCGCAGUAA
Molecule: ribosomal RNA, 506 nt
Filed under: uncultured bacterium
Lineage: Bacteria
Description: partial 16S ribosomal RNA
Rfam family: Bacterial small subunit ribosomal RNA
Source: RNAcentral